GAUGAAGAACGUAGUGAAAUGCGAUAAGUAAUGUGAAUUGCAGAAUUCAGUGAAUCAUCGAAUCUUUGAACGCACAUUGCGCCCGCCAGCACUCUGGCGGGCAUGCCUGUUCGAGCGUCAUUUCAACCAUCAAGCCCCCAGGGGCUUGUGCUGGGGCCCUGCGGCUGCCCGCAGGCCCUGAAAACCAGUGGCGGGCUCGCUAGUCACACCGAGCGCAGUAGCACAUCUCGCUCAGGGCGUGAGGCGGGCUCCUGCCGUGAAACCCCCCACUGUAACCCCAAAGGUUGACCUCGGAUCAGGUAGGAAUACCCGCUGAACUUAAGCAUAUCAAUAAGCGGAGGA
Molecule: unclassified non-coding RNA, 342 nt
Filed under: soil metagenome
Description: partial contains 5.8S ribosomal RNA, internal transcribed spacer 2, and large subunit ribosomal RNA
Rfam family: 5.8S ribosomal RNA (bases 1-120)
Source: RNAcentral